GACAUAGGUGGCGAACGUUAUCCGGAAUUAUUGGGCGUAAAGCGCGCGUAGGCGGAAGGUGAAGCGUGGCCUGAAAGCCCCCGGCUCAACCGGGGAGGGCGGCUGCGAACUGGCCUUCUUGAGGGCGAUAGAGGGGGGCGGAAUUCCUGGUGUAGCGGUGAAAUGCGUAGAGAUCAGGAGGAACACCCGUGGCGAAGGCGGCCCCCUGGGUCGGCCCUGACGCUGAGGCGCGAAAGCGUGGGGAGCGAACGGG
This 253-nucleotide ribosomal RNA is filed under the name uncultured bacterium. Its description in RNAcentral is "partial 16S ribosomal RNA". It matches the Rfam family "Bacterial small subunit ribosomal RNA", at positions 524 to 776 of the family's 1533-position model. The record is from RNAcentral.